RNAcentral lists this ribosomal RNA (440 nucleotides) under uncultured bacterium. Its description in RNAcentral is "partial 16S ribosomal RNA". It matches the Rfam family "Bacterial small subunit ribosomal RNA", at positions 338 to 795 of the family's 1533-position model. The record is from RNAcentral.
CCUAUGGGUGGCAGCAGUGGGGAAUAUUGCACAAUGGGGGAAACCCUGAUGCAGCAACGCCGCGUGGGUGAAGAAGUAUUUCGGUAUGUAAAGCCCUAUCAGUAGGGAAGAGAAUGACGGUACCUGAAUAAGAAGCUCCGGCUAACUACGUGAAGGCAGCCGCGGUAAUACGUAGGGGGCCAGCGUUAUCCGGAUUUACUGGGUGUAAAGGGAGCGUAGGUGGUUGGGCAAGUCUGAAGUGAAAGCGCGCGGCUCAACUGCGGAAAGGCAUUUGAAACUGUGUAACUGGAGUGCUGGAGAGGUAAGCGGAAUUCCUGGUGUAGCGGUGAAAUGCGUAGAGAUCAGGAGGAACACCGGCUGCGAAGGCGGCUUACUGGACAGUAACUGACGUUGAGGCUCGAAAGUGUGGGUAGCAAACAGGAUUAGAUACCCCUGUAGUC